This 277-nucleotide ribosomal RNA is filed under the name uncultured Alphaproteobacteria bacterium. Its description in RNAcentral is "partial 16S ribosomal RNA". It matches the Rfam family "Bacterial small subunit ribosomal RNA", at positions 31 to 335 of the family's 1533-position model. The record is from RNAcentral. Lineage: Bacteria; Pseudomonadati; Pseudomonadota; Alphaproteobacteria.
GUACGCUGGCGGCACGCCUUAUACAUGCAAGUCGAACGAAGUAGCAAUACUUAGUGGCAGACGGGUGAGUAACAUGUGGGUAUCUUCCCUUUGGUGAGGAAUAACACGAGGAAACUUGUGCUAAUACCUCAUAAGUCUUUACGGAGAAAGCUUUAUGCGCCAAUGGAUGAGCCCGCACUUGAUUAGUUUGUUGGUGGGGUAAUGGCUUACCAAGACUUUGAUCAAUAGCUGAUCUGAGAGGAUGAUCAGCCACAUUGGGACUGAGACACGGCCCAAA